GCCUCGGUGGUGAAAUUGGUAGACGCGCCGGACUCAAAAUCCGGUUCCGCAAGGAGUGUCGGUUCGAUUCCGACCCGAGGCA
RNAcentral lists this transfer RNA (82 nucleotides) under Fluviibacter phosphoraccumulans. It matches the Rfam family "tRNA". From Rfam's summary of the family: Transfer RNA (tRNA) molecules are approximately 80 nucleotides in length. Their secondary structure includes four short double-helical elements and three loops (D, anti-codon, and T loops). Further hydrogen bonds mediate the characteristic L-shaped molecular structure. tRNAs have two regions of fundamental functional importance: the anti-codon, which is responsible for specific mRNA codon recognition, and the 3' end, to which the tRNAs corresponding amino acid is attached (by aminoacyl-tRNA synthetases). tRNAs cope with the degeneracy of the genetic code in two manners: having more than one tRNA (with a specific anti-codon) for a particular amino acid; and 'wobble' base-pairing, i.e. permitting non-standard base-pairing at the 3rd anti-codon position. The record is from Rfam by way of RNAcentral. Lineage: Bacteria; Pseudomonadati; Pseudomonadota; Betaproteobacteria; Rhodocyclales; Fluviibacteraceae.